This 494-nucleotide ribosomal RNA is filed under the name uncultured bacterium. RNAcentral describes it as "bacterial SSU rRNA". It matches the Rfam family "Bacterial small subunit ribosomal RNA", at positions 28 to 518 of the family's 1533-position model. The record is from RNAcentral.
GAUGAACGCUAGCGGCAGGCUUAACACAUGCAAGUCGAGGGGUAUUGGUUUUCGGACCAAGAGACCGGCGCACGGGUGCGUAACGCGUAUGCAAUCUACCUUUUGCAGAGGGAUAGCCCCAGAGAAAUUUGGAUUAAUACCUCAUAGUAUAGUACUUUGGCAUCAAGGAACUAUUAAAGUCACAACGGCAAAGAUGAGCAUGCGUCCCAUUAGCUAGUUGGUAAGGUAACGGCUUACCAAGGCUACGAUGGGUAGGGGUCCUGAGAGGGAGAUCCCCCACACUGGUACUGAGACACGGACCAGACUCCUACGGGAGGCAGCAGUGAGGAAUAUUGGACAAUGGGCGCAAGCCUGAUCCAGCCACUGCCGCGUGCAGGAUGACGGUCCUAUGGAUUGUAAACUGCUUUUAUACAGGAAGAAACACUCCGACGUGUCGGAGCUUUGACGGUACUGUAAGAAUAAAGGNUACGGCUAAACUCCGUGCCAGCAGCCGU